AUUUCUGGCUAACAGUGCAGCAGUAGCACUAAAUCUCUUUCAUUGCAUCUUGAAAGCAUUGUUCUGAUUUCAGUGGCCACACACUGCUAAAUGACUGACUUCACCAGCAAUGGAAGGCACUCUUAAUUCAGUCCGUAUAUUAAGGUAACAGCAUGUUAAUGUGGACAUAAAAUUUCCAUUUUUGAAAGCGUGUGAACAUCAACAGAUUUGAAGGUUCCUUUGAAUAAUUUGGAAUAUUCCUGAUGCAACCCAGUACAAGGACAGGCAAACAUUGGGUGAACACCUCAAGUAAUGCAAAGACAGGAAGAAUUACUCUAAAUUUAAAAGCCACUCUGAUGCUAAUGGCCAACUCAACAGUGCAGAAGGAGACAUUCUUCCUCCCAGUCAUGCCUGAGCCACUUGGUUUCAUUUUUUUAUUCAUGUACUUACCUAGAGCUCUACAUCCUCUGUUAAUUGUGUUUGUGUGCAGUAACUCACGGAAAGCUGACUCCACAAUAUCUGAUAACUGGAUUGAUAUCUGGAAAAAUAGUUAACAAUAUAUUCAGCCUUCGAAGAGCAAGAAAAUCAUUUCAGGAGCUCCUGGGGAGGGAUCUUUUCUCUGCUGAAAUCAAUAACAAAAUCCUGUUAAUUGUGGGGUAGUCAGGAGUCUUCCUUCAUGUUUUAUGUGUACAUAUAUUUGUAUGUAUUCAAAUCAGAGAGAUAAAAUAAUUAUUAUUCUAUUUAUUUAUUUACAUAUUUACUUAUUUAUUGUCAAAGAAUUGAAGGAUUUUUCAUGGAAACAAAGAUUUUGGAAUUCAGCCAGAUAUGUGAUCGGAGUAUAACUCAAAGUUUUUAAGAAGGAAGUUUGCUACAAGCUGACACCUAUUAAAGCAUCAUUUCUGACACACAACUGUUUAUGAUUCAUUUUUUCCUUUUUAUGAUGUAUACUCUGCAGUACAAAACUCCAAUAUUUCAGUUUCUAAGUGUUAUCUCCUACUUCUCAUGCCACAACAUAGUCUUUUUCAGCAAUGACUCUUCAGCUGUUUAGUUCCUAAUACGGCUGUUCAGGAGGGCAUGGUAUAAUCUUCAGCCUUCAGAGGAUAUGUUUAUAACUAUAUGUAUAUCUAUAUGGUUACAGUGACAGUAUCUGUCCUUCUACAAUUCAAACAACA
This 1151-nucleotide long non-coding RNA is filed under the name Anas platyrhynchos platyrhynchos (common mallard). RNAcentral's name for it is "lncRNA (ENSAPLG00000020405.1)". The record is from RNAcentral. Lineage: Eukaryota; Metazoa; Chordata; Aves; Anseriformes; Anatidae.